This 1504-nucleotide ribosomal RNA is filed under the name Helicobacter pylori. RNAcentral's name for it is "bacterial SSU rRNA". It matches the Rfam family "Bacterial small subunit ribosomal RNA". The record is from RNAcentral. Lineage: Bacteria; Pseudomonadati; Campylobacterota; Epsilonproteobacteria; Campylobacterales; Helicobacteraceae.
UUUAUGGAGAGUUUGAUCCUGGCUCAGAGUGAACGCUGGCGGCGUGCCUAAUACAUGCAAGUCGAACGAUGAAGCUUCUAGCUUGCUAGAAUGCUGAUUAGUGGCGCACGGGUGAGUAACGCAUAGGUUAUGUGCCUCUUAGUUUGGGAUAGCCAUUGGAAACGAUGAUUAAUACCAGAUACUCCCUACGGGGGAAAGAUUUAUCGCUAAGAGAUCAGCCUAUGUCCUAUCAGCUUGUUGGUAAGGUAAUGGCUUACCAAGGCUAUGACGGGUAUCCGGCCUGAGAGGGUGAACGGACACACUGGAACUGAGACACGGUCCAGACUCCUACGGGAGGCAGCAGUAGGGAAUAUUGCUCAAUGGGGGAAACCCUGAAGCAGCAACGCCGCGUGGAGGAUGAAGGUUUUAGGAUUGUAAACUCCUUUUGUUAGAGAAGAUAAUGACGGUAUCUAACGAAUAAGCACCGGCUAACUCCGUGCCAGCAGCCGCGGUAAUACGGAGGGUGCAAGCGUUACUCGGAAUCACUGGGCGUAAAGAGCGCGUAGGCGGGAUAGUCAGUCAGGUGUGAAAUCCUAUGGCUUAACCAUAGAACUGCAUUUGAAACUACUAUUCUAGAGUGUGGGAGAGGUAGGUGGAAUUCUUGGUGUAGGGGUAAAAUCCGUAGAGAUCAAGAGGAAUACUCAUUGCGAAGGCGACCUGCUGGAACAUUACUGACGCUGAUUGCGCGAAAGCGUGGGGAGCAAACAGGAUUAGAUACCCUGGUAGUCCACGCCCUAAACGAUGGAUGCUAGUUGUUGGAGGGCUUAGUCUCUCCAGUAAUGCAGCUAACGCAUUAAGCAUCCCGCCUGGGGAGUACGGUCGCAAGAUUAAAACUCAAAGGAAUAGACGGGGACCCGCACAAGCGGUGGAGCAUGUGGUUUAAUUCGAAGAUACACGAAGAACCUUACCUAGGCUUGACAUUGAGAGAAUCCGCUAGAAAUAGUGGAGUGUCUGGCUUGCCAGACCUUGAAAACAGGUGCUGCACGGCUGUCGUCAGCUCGUGUCGUGAGAUGUUGGGUUAAGUCCCGCAACGAGCGCAACCCCCUUUCUUAGUUGCUAACAGGUUAUGCUGAGAACUCUAAGGAUACUGCCUCCGUAAGGAGGAGGAAGGUGGGGACGACGUCAAGUCAUCAUGGCCCUUACGCCUAGGGCUACACACGUGCUACAAUGGGGUGCACAAAGAGAAGCAAUACUGCGAAGUGGAGCCAAUCUUCAAAACACCUCUCAGUUCGGAUUGUAGGCUGCAACUCGCCUGCAUGAAGCUGGAAUCGCUAGUAAUCGCAAAUCAGCCAUGUUGCGGUGAAUACGUUCCCGGGUCUUGUACUCACCGCCCGUCACACCAUGGGAGUUGUGUUUGCCUUAAGUCAGGAUGCUAAAUUGGCUACUGCCCACGGCACACACAGCGACUGGGGUGAAGUCGUAACAAGGUAACCGUAGGUGAACCUGCGGUUGGAUCACCUCCUUU